Molecule: ribosomal RNA, 492 nt
Filed under: uncultured bacterium
Lineage: Bacteria
Description: partial 16S ribosomal RNA
Rfam family: Bacterial small subunit ribosomal RNA
Source: RNAcentral
AGUGAACGCUGGCGGUAGGCCUAACACAUGCAAGUCGAACGGCAGCACAGUAAGAGCUUGCUCUUACGGGUGGCGAGUGGCGGACGGGUGAGGAAUACAUCGGAAUCUACUUUUUCGUGGGGGAUAACGUAGGGAAACUUACGCUAAUACCGCAUACGACCUACGGGUGAAAGCAGGGGAUCUUCGUACCCUGCGCGAUUGAAUGAGCCGAUGUCGGAUUAGCUAGUUGGCGGGGUAAAGGCCCACCAAGGCGACGAUCCGUAGCUGGUCUGAGAGGAUGAUCAGCCACACUGGAACUGAGACACGGUCCAGACUCCUACGGGAGGCAGCAGUGGGGAAUAUUGGACAAUGGGCGCAAGCCUGAUCCAGCCAUACCGCGUGGGUGGAGAAGGCCUUCGGGUUGUAAAGCCCUUUUGUUGGGAAAGAAAAGCAGCAGGUUAAUACCCCGCUGUUCUGACGGUACCCAAAGAAUAAGCACCGGCUAACUUCGUG